This 465-nucleotide ribosomal RNA is filed under the name Vreelandella stevensii. RNAcentral describes it as "partial 16S ribosomal RNA". It matches the Rfam family "Bacterial small subunit ribosomal RNA", at positions 338 to 795 of the family's 1533-position model. Lineage: Bacteria; Pseudomonadati; Pseudomonadota; Gammaproteobacteria; Oceanospirillales; Halomonadaceae. The record is from RNAcentral.
CCUACGGGAGGCUGCAGUGGGGAAUAUUGGACAAUGGGCGAAAGCCUGAUCCAGCCAUGCCGCGUGUGUGAAGAAGGCCUUCGGGUUGUAAAGCACUUUCAGUGGGGAAGAAAGCCUUGGGGCUAAUACCCUCGAGGAAGGACAUCACCCACAGAAGAAGCACCGGCUAACUCCGUGCCAGCAGCCGCGGUAAUACGGAGGGUGCGAGCGUUAAUCGGAAUUACUGGGCGUAAAGCGCGCGUAGGCGGUCUGAUAAGCCGGUUGUGAAAGCCCCGGGCUCAACCUGGGAACGGCAUCCGGAACUGUCAGGCUAGAGUGCAGGAGAGGAAGGUAGAAUUCCCGGUGUAGCGGUGAAAUGCGUAGAGAUCGGGAGGAAUACCAGUGGCGAAGGCGGCCUUCUGGACUGACACUGACGCUGAGGUGCGAAAGCGUGGGUAGCGAACAGGAUUAGAUACCCCUGUAGUC